Podarcis lilfordi (Lilford's wall lizard) is the source of this 73-nucleotide non-coding RNA. Lineage: Eukaryota; Metazoa; Chordata; Lepidosauria; Squamata; Lacertidae. The record is from the annotation of a GenBank genome assembly.
GUGCAUAUAGCCCAGUUGGUAGAGCCAGAGUCUCUUAAUCUCAGGGCCGUGGGUUCAAGCCCCACAUUGGGCA